This 310-nucleotide small RNA is filed under the name Arabidopsis thaliana (thale cress). RNAcentral describes it as "ATSL050980". Lineage: Eukaryota; Viridiplantae; Streptophyta; Magnoliopsida; Brassicales; Brassicaceae. The record is from RNAcentral.
UUUUUUGUUUUAAAUAGUUUCCAAAAUCUAGUUUAAAUUUUGGAGAAAUUUGCGUGAUAUAUGAGAUUAGAAUAUAUUUGGAAUAUUUUUUGUUUGUUAAUCAAUUUAUUGCCAAAAGAAAACCAAUAAUUAAAAGCCAAUGGCAGGCAUUGUAAAUAAGUUCGAACUCCAAAAUUUAUUUCAUAAAAUGGCUGCAAAAAUGUAUAUAUAAAUAUCAGUUUGUGGAAUAUUUUAGAAAGAAUCAUACGAUGUAAAAUUUUUGAAUUUUUCCUAAAUGUAAACUUUCGAAUUUUCUCUAGUAUAUUUUAAU